This is a long non-coding RNA of Cyprinus carpio carpio, 2973 nucleotides long. The record is from Ensembl. Lineage: Eukaryota; Metazoa; Chordata; Actinopteri; Cypriniformes; Cyprinidae.
AAAGACCACUGACCAACAACUGCAAAAAAUUUUUUAGCUCAGCUCUCAUGGAAUUGAAUGCAAAGGAUAGUGGGAUAUCAUAGGCAGAGGAGGACACAUCUAUGCUGCCUUUAAAAAUUGAUAAGAUGACGGUAUCUCAGUGGACAUGCUGUGACACAGUCAUUGGAUUUGGACAUGCCUUGUUGCGUUCCUACCAUUUUAUGCAGCAUUUUUCAGUCAUGGGAUACAGCCAGGAUCUCCACAUGAUUGGUGUUUCAAAGGGAAACCAUGGCCAUGCACUUCAUCUUUUUUCCCCUCAUUUUCUGCACUGCUUUGCAUCCAAAACUAAAAGCAUGAAUUACAAAAACCUAUGCAGAGUGUUUUGAGGAUGACUGAAGGAGCAAGUCACUUAGAGAUGGGGCAGCAAUGUUUUCUCUUCCAGGUAAUUACAAAGCGGGUAUUUUUUUUUUAAAUAGGCCUCCCAUGGUCUGUACCACUUCUUACCUUCUCACAAAAUAACAGAGAAAGGGCUGAAAAGAGUGUGUGUAGGUGUGAAAGGAUGGCGACCCCCCGUGUCGAGGUAAUUACUGCCCCUCUCUCUCUGUGUGUGCUUAGGUGGAACACUCAUUAUGCUCGUGUUCUCAUGCGAACACACACAAACACAUGUGAACCUCAUCUUUGUCACACACACAUACAUAUACUGUACAGUCACUCUGUCCUCAAACCAAACAAAAUAAAAACAGCACUUUGUCUUUUCUUCAUAUUUUUUGUUUACAUAGGAACUUGUGACAUGCAUCUGUGAUUGGGAUUAACUCUUUGUGGUCCACAUUAAAACACUGAACACACACAAGCAUUUGUAGGAGGAUAGUGUAGCGUCGAAGGAUGAAAUGUGAAACUGUCUGUUCCUGUAUACCCUCAGAAGGCCCCUCACUCUCAUAAACCACACUGGGCUUUUUCAGCUCCACUGCAUACUUCGAUCUCUCACAUACACACAAAGCUCACAAGGGCUGACUGCUAAAUCUUUCAGGAUAUUCUGGUAUGUAGUUUCUAUAAUAAACAAUGUAUAUGCUUGUAAAUCAGGUUACAGUUAUUGAGUUUUUCUAGUGAUUGACUUUGCUUUCCUUUUUACAUUAAGCACAAUAGUGUAUCAUAACAUACAGUAUAAACAUGCACAGUUAUCUAUUAUGAAGAAUAUUUUAAAAAAAAAAAAAAAAAAAUUAAGCCAAAAUUAAGCUGAUAAAACUUUACAUGCAAAAUAUGAUGGAGGUUGGGAAGGAGGAUUGGAGACUUGAGAACAGAGAUGUGAUUAAGGGCUUGGUUUUUCAUUAGUGGGUCUAUACUCCCAUCUGCAGGUCACACAUGAGAUGAGUUUUUUUUUUCUUUUUGGUUUGGUCACUUGGCUGCUAGUGAUCCUCGAAGUGUCACACAAAGUGUCAAAUUCAUUUCAGUUGUUACAAACCCACAAUCUUGGAUGAUUUGAUUUAUCACUACAUUCUAAAAAGAAAUUUCCGAAUACAUAUAUGACCACAAAUAAAUGUAUGGUUGCAAAUAAAAAUAAAACAUUUAAGAUUUUUACUGGGUAAAAUAACUGUUUGAAUUUAUAUUUUAUUUUAAAUUAUUGCUGUGCUGGCAAAGCGGAAUUUUCAGCAUCAUUUCUCAAGUCUUCAGGGUCCCACGAACCUUCAGAAAUAAUUUUAAUAUGCUGAUUUGAAUUAUUUAAUGUCAAAAACAGUUGAUACUAAUCAAAAGGACACAGUAAGUAUUUUCAUGUUGUGGCAUGACCUAAAACAGCCCAUCCAUGCUCGAAAACCCUCCAACGUGGCUGAAUUAAAACAAUCCUGAAAAGAAAAGUGGGCAGGCACGUAGUGGCAGGAAGGUUUAGACAGCUUUUUUUCCUUAAAAAAAUGAAAUCAUUAUUCCAUAACUGCAUUUUGUAUUUACUCAGGUUAUCUUUGUAAUUUUAAAAUUUGUUUGAUCUGAAUCAUUCAAGAGUGACAUGCAAAAUUUUUUAAAAAGCUGUGUGUGGGGUCAAAUAAUUUUUCACAGCUGUGUGUGUUAAGCUUUUUACUCCAUAUAAAUGGUUUUCUUCUGAACUUUAAAACCAUUGUUCCGCCGCACCAAAAAAAAAAAAACAUUGAAAAUUGCAUUUAAGUAUAUUCAAUUGCAAAACAGUUAAAUUGUAAGAAUAUUACUAUAUUUAAUGCAUUUGAUUAAAAUAAGCAUAAGAGACUUUAAAAUCCUAGUUAUUCCAAAAUUUUGACACCCAGUGUAUAGCUGUUUAUGAGAUCAUUGAGAGCAAUUGUUGUACAACUGAUUUCAGUGAACCAAACUGAAUUUUAGGAAUUUUAAUUUUCUCCUUUUACCCUUUUGAAAAACAAUUAAUGUAAUUUACCGUGCAUCAGUUGCAAACAUCCCUCCCACAGUCUUCAAAUACAGAAGAGACAAUGACACCUCACUUGUGCUGAAGUAAUGUUGCAGUGAUCUGUCAGUUUAUAUGUAUAUAAAAGACCCUUGUUUUUCAUGUUACUCUGAUAAUUGCAGAGUAACAUGAAACACACUGUAAAAUGCUGUCUAAACUGACAGAUGAUCUGACAGAUAAAAUGGCAAUAUAGCCCUUGUGACUACUAAACUCAGCCUCCCUUACUUGUUUACAAUGUCCUAUUAAAAAGAGGAUUUCACCCCAGUCAGACUCUGGUGAAGACAGAUAAAGAGGGUCUUCACCCACUGCCAUUAUACAAUCAUAGCCCAUACAAAAUAACUAAUCAAGAAAUAUAUAUAAGCAUCACAUGCACGAUGUAAAAGCAGGGCUGAACUCACCCUGAAGAUGUCCUCUGUCAUUUCCAAACUAGAAAGUGUGUCAGUAUGCUUCCCAACUUCAAGCCUGUAGAUGAGAUGUAGGGCAAAGGCAUGACAAAAUGACUCUCAAAGGUAAGUCUGACCAAAAAAUUUAAAAGUUGGAACAUGUCCUAACAUGACCAACCUGGCCAAGACCAC